Long non-coding RNA from Ruditapes philippinarum (Manila clam), 230 nucleotides. RefSeq lists it as uncharacterized. NCBI's taxonomy places the organism in Eukaryota, Metazoa, Mollusca, Bivalvia, Venerida, Veneridae. The record is from RefSeq and is a predicted model, not a curated record. The transcript is spliced from 4 exons.
AUAAAUUAAGCACAGACAACAUGCAACUACAACUCAGACGUCCAGUCAGUGAAACACAAAGAAAAUACUCUUUCAAUUCGCUCUUGCCUUCUUGGAAAUUGCCAAUCUGUAAAACAUGAGGAAAUUUAUCCUACCUACCACGAUAUGUAUGUUGCUGUUGGUUGGUUUGGAAACAACAGAAUCACAGGGAUGUGUUACCACACCGAAAGUAGCGUUUUAACGCAUAUUCC